CAAGAUUCUCCCUUCCUGAAAAUUAAAGAGAAGGAAAACAUCCUUCUAAUUGAGGAACAGUGAAUGGGACAUGACGUUGUGAAAAUAUCUAGUUUUCGAAGAAAGAAAAAAGGAGGGAAAAGAAGAUACAAUUAUCAAUGUGAACAGAAAUAUCUGCUAUCCCAGAAAACAAGGAAUUUGCAAUGUUUGGAAUAUGGAACCAUAUAAAAGGGUUCAUAUUUUUAUCAGGAGAGAGUUCAUUCUACAUCCAUGGCACAUCCUGGACAUCCCCCUCCAGCUGUACCUUUUCACCAUGCAUCAAGGUGGAGGAAGAUUUUUGUGCCAGCAGCAUCUCAGACAGCAGGAGUUUCUGACAAUCCUUGGCUCAUUGCUGUGCUGAGGUCAAGGGUAACAAAUUGCUUCUCUUGAGGAGCUACGGCUCUAGCCCAGUAGCAGUCCACAAGGACACUGAUGCUCCCUGCUCUUUGUGUUGGGAACUCUGUGUGAUGCAGGAAUACCUGCAGGAGUGCAAGCCUUCAUGGAAUUCUCCUGCUCUGGGAAGAAAAUCAACAACCUGAUUGUUAGAGACUGAAAUAUUACAGUUUAUGACAAACAUUUUCGUUAAGGACUUUUUUACAAAAGCUGCAGAGAAGGCUACUGGACCCUGACUGAGGCCUUACACCACUCACUGAUGAAGAUAAGAUAAAGUAACAACUCAGGGCUGGGGACAUUCACAAAGCACACGAUUAACACCUCCAAGGGGGAGACUACAGCCCCAGGGCUAUCAGCUGCCAGGCUCACACAGACCCCCUGCACCAAAGGGUGGGGGGAGGAGAGG
Corvus hawaiiensis (hawaiian crow) is the source of this 817-nucleotide long non-coding RNA. RefSeq lists it as uncharacterized. The transcript has 3 exons. The record is from RefSeq and is a predicted model, not a curated record. NCBI's taxonomy places the organism in Eukaryota, Metazoa, Chordata, Aves, Passeriformes, Corvidae.